UUCGAAACAGCCGUAAAGUGGGUGAACCCAAUCUGGUGUGAUUUUGUGCUCAAUGGGCCAACCUGUGACUUGGCCGAAAACCUUCGAUGGGAUAUUUGACGAGGUUGGCUCUGAUUUAAAGGAAUCCAUCGUGGGGUUGGGAAGAGGAGAAGAAGGAGCUUCUAUGGUGUUAAUUGUGGGUUGAUUGGCGUAUACGGCGUUUCCCAGCGGCGAGUUCUCCAGUGGAGUUGCAGAAGGAGAUACGAGGAGGAUGAAGUUGUCUCUAGGGUUUGGACAAUUUCGGACACUAGUAUGAAAAUUGAAG
RNAcentral lists this long non-coding RNA (304 nucleotides) under Nicotiana benthamiana. RNAcentral's name for it is "long non-coding RNA (NBEN_LNC003795)". The record is from RNAcentral. Lineage: Eukaryota; Viridiplantae; Streptophyta; Magnoliopsida; Solanales; Solanaceae.